RNAcentral lists this ribosomal RNA (497 nucleotides) under uncultured bacterium. Its description in RNAcentral is "partial 16S ribosomal RNA". It matches the Rfam family "Bacterial small subunit ribosomal RNA", at positions 28 to 507 of the family's 1533-position model. The record is from RNAcentral.
GACGAACGCUGGCGGCGUGCCUAAUACAUGCAAGUAGAACGCUGAAGCGAGGAGCUUGCUCUUCUUGGAUGAGUUGCGAACGGGUGAGUAACGCGUAGGUAACCUGCCUGGUAGCGGGGGAUAACUAUUGGAAACGAUAGCUAAUACCGCGUAAAAUUGAUUAUUGCAUGAUAAUUAAUUGAAAGAUGCAACUGCAUCACUACCAGAUGGACCUGCGCUGUAUUAGCUAGUUGGUGAGGUAACGGCUCACCAAGGCGACGAUACAUAGCCGACCUGAGAGGGUGAUCGGCCACACUGGGACUGAGACACGGCCCAGACUCCUACGGGAGGCAGCAGUAGGGAAUCUUCGGCAAUGGGGGGAACCCUGACCGAGCAACGCCGCGUGAGUGAAGAAGGGUGUCGGAUCGUAAAGCUCUGUUGUAAGAGAAGAACGGGUGUGAGAGUGGAAAGUUCACACUGUGACGGUAUCUUACCAGAAAGGGACGGCUAACUACGUG